AGGGCGCAUGGUGGAUGCCUUGGCAACAGGAGCCGAAGAAGGACGUGGGAAUCUGCGAUAAGCCUGGUGGAGUCGAUAACCGGACGUUGAGACCAGGAUUUCCGAAUGGGGGAACCCCGCACGACUUUCAAGAUCGUGUGACCGCCUGCUGAACACAUAGGCAGGUUGGAGGGAACGCAGGGAAGUGAAACAUCUCAGUACCUGCAGGAAGAGAAAACAAAAGUGAUUCCGUGAGUAGUGGCGAGCGAAAGCGGAGGAGGCUAAACCGUGUGUGUGUUCAAGCCGGCAGGUGUUGCAUGUGCGGGGUUGUGGGGGCCUGUGUGAUCCUGCUGCCGUGGGAUCGGCUUGCAUGUGGUGUGAAGUUGAAUCGUCUGGGAAGGCGGACCGUAGUGGGUGAGAGUCCCGUAGUCGAAAUGUGUUCCGCCGCUGUUGGAGGGUCGCCCGAGUAGCACGGGGCCCGAGGAAUCCCGUGUGAAUCUGCCAGGACCACCUGGUAAGCCUGAAUACUACCUGUUGACCGAUAGCGGAUCAGUACCGUGAGGGAAUGGUGAAAAGUACCCCGGGAGGGGAGUGAAAUAGUACCUGAAACCAUGUGCCUACAAACCGUCGGAGCCUCCUUGUUGGGGUGACGGCGUGCCUUUUGAAGAAUGAGCCUGCGAGUCAGCGGCAUGUCGCGAGGUUAACCCGUGUGGGGAAGCCGUAGCGAAAGCGAGUCUGAAUAGGGCGAUUCAGUCGCGUGUCCUAGACCCGAAGCGGAGUGAUCUACCCAUGGCCAGGUUGAAGCGCGUGUAAGAGCGCGUGGAGGACCGAACCCACUUCAGUUGAAAAUGGAGGGGAUGAGCCGUGGGUAGGGGUGAAAGGCCAAUCAAACUCCGUGAUAGCUGGUUCUCCCCGAAAUGCAUUUAGGUGCAGCGUCACGUGUUUCUUCCCGGAGGUAGAGCUACUGGAUGGCUGAUGGGCCCCAACGGGUUACUGACGUCAACCAAACUCCGAAUGCCGGGAAGUGAGAGCGUGGCAGUGAGACUGUGGGGGAUAAGCUUCAUAGUCGAGAGGGAAACAGCCCAGACCACCGGUUAAGGCCCCUAAGCGUGUGCUAAGUGGGAAAGGAUGUGGAGUUGCUGAGACAACCAGGAGGUUGGCUUAGAAGCAGCCAUCCUUUAAAGAAAGCGUAAUAGCUCACUGGUCAAGCGAGCCCGCGCCGAAAAUGUAACGGGGCUAAAGUUCGGUACCGAAGCUACGGAAUCGUCGCAAGACGAUUGGUAGGCGAGCGUCUUCAAGGAGAUACACGGUGGACGGUGACGACCACUAACGGCCUUCAGGAGUGACUAUGCGGGCAUGAGUAGCGAUAAACCGGGUGAGAAACCCGGUCGCCGUAAGCCCAAGGUUUCCUGGGGAAGGAUAAUCCUCCCAUGGGUUAGUCGAUUCCUAAGCCGAGGCCGAGAGGCGUAGGUGAUGGAAAGCAGGUCAAUAUUCCUGCACCACUAGGGAUGGCAUUGACGUAAGCGGGGACGGAGAAGGGUAGGCCGAGCCAGGUGAUUGGUUCCUGGUUCAAGCCUGUAGGCAGAUUCCAUAGGACCCGACAGGGACAAACGUGGAGUCAAUGCCGAGAGGUGAUGAGGUUGAGCUUCGGCUCUAAAACUCGGUGAUCCCAAGCUUCCAAGAAAAGCCGCGUGCAGAGCCUCUUUGGUGAUCGUACUGCAAACCGACUCAGGUGGGCGGGAAGAAUAUUCCAAGGCGCGUGAGAGAACCCCGGUUAAGGAACUCGGCAAAUUGACACCGUAACUUCGGAAGAAGGUGUGCCUUUAGUAGGUGAAGUCGUACAGAUGGAGCCCAAUGAGGCCGCAGAGAAUCGGUGGCUGCGACUGUUUAAUAAAAACACAGCACUCUGCAAAGACGAAAGUCGACGUAUAGGGUGUGACGCCUGCCCGGUGCUGGAAGAUUAAAUGAUGGGGUGCAAGCUCUUGAUUGAAGUCCCAGUAAACGGCGGCCGUAACUAUAACGGUCCUAAGGUAGCGAAAUUCCUUGUCGGGUAAGUUCCGACCUGCACGAAUGGAGUAACGACUUCCCCGCUGUCUCAACCAUGAACUCGGCGAAAUUGCAUUACGAGUAAAGAUGCUCGUUACGCGCAGAAGGACGGAAAGACCCCGAGACCUUUACUAUAGUUUGGUAUUGGUGUUCGGUGUGGCUUGUGUAGGAUAGGUGGGAGACUGUGAAGCCGGCACGCCAGUGCUGGUGGAGUCAUCGUUGAAAUACCACUCUGGUCACUCUGGACAUCUAACUUCGGCCCGUGAUCCGGGUCAGGGACAGUGCCUGAUGGGUAGUUUAACUGGGGCGGUUGCCUCCCAAAAUGUAACGGAGGCGCCCAAAGGUCCCCUCAGCCUGGUUGGCAAUCAGGUGUUGAGUGCAAGUGCACAAGGGAGCUUGACUGUGAGAGUGGCAGCUCGAGCAGGGACGAAAGUCGGGACUAGUGAUCCGGCACUGGCUUGUGGAAGCGGUGUCGCUCAACGGAUAAAAGGUACCUCGGGGAUAACAGGCUGAUCUUGCCCAAGAGUCCAUAUCGACGGCAUGGUUUGGCACCUCGAUGUCGGCUCGUCGCAUCCUGGGGCUGGAGUAGGUCCCAAGGGUUGGGCUGUUCGCCCAUUAAAGCGGUACGCGAGCUGGGUUCAGAACGUCGUGAGACAGUUCGGUCCCUAUCCGCUGCGCGCGUUGGAAAUUUGAGAAGGUCUGUCCUUAGUACGAGAGGACCGGGACGGACGAACCUCUGGUAUGUCAGUUGUACCGCCAGGUGCAUGGCUGAUUAGCUACGUUCGGGAUGGAUAACCGCUGAAAGCAUCUAAGCGGGAAGCCCACCUUAAGAUUAGAUUUCCCUAAAGAGCCGUUGU
RNAcentral lists this ribosomal RNA (2882 nucleotides) under Selaginella bryopteris. Its description in RNAcentral is "bacterial LSU rRNA". It matches the Rfam family "Bacterial large subunit ribosomal RNA". Lineage: Eukaryota; Viridiplantae; Streptophyta; Lycopodiopsida; Selaginellales; Selaginellaceae. The record is from RNAcentral.